CACUCUAGAGAGACUGCCAGGGAUAACCUGGAGGAAGGUGGGGAUGACGUCAAAUCAUCAUGCCCCUUAUGCUUAGGGCUACACACGUGCUACAAUGGGUAGUACAGAGGGUUGCCAAGCCGUAAGGUGGAGCUAAUCCCUUAAAGCUACUCUCAGUUCGGAUUGUAGGCUGAAACUCGCCUACAUGAAGCUGGAGUUACUAGUAAUCGCAGAUCAGAAUGCUGCGGUGAAUGCGUUCCCGGGUCUUGUACACACCGCCCGUCACACCACGGGAGUUGGAGACGCCCGAAGCCGAUUAUCUAACCUUUUGGAAGAAGUCGUCGAAGGUGGAAUCAAUAACUGGGGUGAAGGCGUAACAAGGUAGCCGUAUCGGAAGGUGCGGCUGGAUCACCUCCUUUCUAAGGAGA
RNAcentral lists this ribosomal RNA (407 nucleotides) under Clostridioides difficile. RNAcentral describes it as "bacterial SSU rRNA". It matches the Rfam family "Bacterial small subunit ribosomal RNA", at positions 1136 to 1533 of the family's 1533-position model. The record is from RNAcentral. Lineage: Bacteria; Bacillati; Bacillota; Clostridia; Peptostreptococcales; Peptostreptococcaceae.